This is a long non-coding RNA of Ictalurus punctatus (channel catfish), 1256 nucleotides long. The record is from Ensembl. NCBI's taxonomy places the organism in Eukaryota, Metazoa, Chordata, Actinopteri, Siluriformes, Ictaluridae.
AGGGGUGUGGCUCAAUAACUUUAUUGUCAUGUCAAUAUCCCAGGUUUUUUCUGCAAUUCCAGAGCAUUUGACUCAUGCACCAUUUAUCACCAUGAAGCAACGGAUUGAUGUGAGAAUGAGAAUGAAAAUGAAACGGACCCUUUCCUCAACAUGCCCCAGAACCCUCAAGCCUGAAAUGCCAUCUUAUUCAUCCUCAACCGUUCCUCAAGUGUUCCUCAGGAGUCUUACACAUCUUGAGCAUCGCUCACGUCACGUAGGACCACCAGCAAACCGGAACGUCAGGAAUCCAUACAACUGCACUGGCAUGCAAAGCUCAAAACAGACCUCCCGAGUACGCAAGACUGUAAUAAACAGAGCCGUUUAACAAGGUAACACACAUAUUUAGCGUAUUGAAGAGCGUUGAAGUCGGUAUGUUUACAGCUGUAGCAUUGUGUUAAUAAUUCAUCACUAGUUGUUCUGACAUCACUUGUUUCAGAUUUACACUUCCUGCAUAGUUUACAUCUUUGCAAAGUCUUUCCUACUUUUAUUUAUUUUAUUUUUUUUGAGUUAUGGAAAAAAAAUAAGCAUACUAUAGUGUUCUAACAGUUUUUACGCUCGCAUUGACUUUGCUUACUGAAGAACCGUGAAACCCUGAUACAUGACACGUCACACUCGACACACAUAUACACACAGUCAGUUUGCUGGUCAUUUGUGCUCUCACAGCAAAACUGUAUAAAGUUGCUUGCUACAAGGCUCGUGUACCACUCUACGCUGUGUUUACAGGAAUAUAAAGAUCACUAUGGCUGCAAGAGUUGCAAUACAGUUGCUUUCCCCAGCCAUUACUACAGUGAAAUAUGUUGAAAUGGUAUACCUAUGAAGGAAAGGCAAAGCUCUUUUGAAAAUUAUUAUUAAUUAUUAUUAUUAUUAUUAUUAUUGUUAUUAUUAUUAUUAUUAUUCUACGUAUUAUAACUACUUGAUUCAGCGCUCCUUCCUUUUUCCGCAGGAUGCAGACGGGUUUCUCGCGGAGAAGCUUGUAGGAGCUGGAACAGAGGCACAACAGACAAUCCCAAACCAUUCUUCAACACAGCCAAGAUGUGACGUAUACCCUAAAACAAAAAAGGACAUAUAGUAAGGGUUUAAUACCGAAGUUCUGUAUUCACUUACGCACAAUUAUCCAACCGUGAUUCUGGCUCUGAUAUCGGCUCGAGUAAGGAACGGAAUUAAGUCCAGCGCCAAAACAUAUCACACUGAAAUAUACGUCAAAUGUCCCUGUAAAU